GAAGGUGUGGCUCAGUGGAAGAGCAUCUGCCUAUUAUGCAGAAGGUCCCUGGUUCAAUCCCUACUAUCUUUA
RNAcentral lists this transfer RNA (72 nucleotides) under Sphaerodactylus townsendi. Its description in RNAcentral is "tRNA-Asn". It matches the Rfam family "tRNA". From Rfam's summary of the family: Transfer RNA (tRNA) molecules are approximately 80 nucleotides in length. Their secondary structure includes four short double-helical elements and three loops (D, anti-codon, and T loops). Further hydrogen bonds mediate the characteristic L-shaped molecular structure. tRNAs have two regions of fundamental functional importance: the anti-codon, which is responsible for specific mRNA codon recognition, and the 3' end, to which the tRNAs corresponding amino acid is attached (by aminoacyl-tRNA synthetases). tRNAs cope with the degeneracy of the genetic code in two manners: having more than one tRNA (with a specific anti-codon) for a particular amino acid; and 'wobble' base-pairing, i.e. permitting non-standard base-pairing at the 3rd anti-codon position. The record is from RNAcentral. Lineage: Eukaryota; Metazoa; Chordata; Lepidosauria; Squamata; Sphaerodactylidae.